Non-coding RNA from Parcubacteria group bacterium CG2_30_36_38, 71 nucleotides. The record is from Rfam.
UGCGGGGUCUGCUAAUGGUAGGCAAGUGGCCCCUGGAGCCAUUAAUCUUGGUUCGAAUCCAAGCCCCGCAG